AGAGUUUGAUCAUGGCUCAGAUUGAACGCUGGCGGCAGGCCUAACACAUGCAAGUCGAACGGUAACAGGAAACAGCUUGCUGAUUCGCUGACGAGUGGCGGACGGGUGAGUAAUGUCUGGGAAACUGCCUGAUGGAGGGGGAUAACUACUGGAAACGGUAGCUAAUACCGCAUAACGUCGCAAGACCAAAGAGGGGGACCUUCGGGCCUCUUGCCAUCGGAUGUGCCCAGAUGGGAUUAGCUUGUUGGUGGGGUAACGGCUCACCAAGGCGACGAUCCCUAGCUGGUCUGAGAGGAUGACCAGCCACACUGGAACUGAGACACGGUCCAGACUCCUACGGGAGGCAGCAGUGGGGAAUAUUGCACAAUGGGCGCAAGCCUGAUGCAGCCAUGCCGCGUGUAUGAAGAAGGCCUUCGGGUUGUAAAGUACUUUCAGCGGGGAGGAAGGGAGUAAAGUUAAUACCUUUGCUCAUUGACGUUACCCGCAGAAGAAGCACCGGCUAACUCCGUGCCAGCAGCCGCGGUAAUACGGAGGGUGCAAGCGUUAAUCGGAAUUACUGGGCGUAAAGCGCACGCAGGCGGUUUGUUAAGUCAGAUGUGAAAUCCCCGGGCUCAACCUGGGAACUGCAUCUGAUACUGGCAAGCUUGAGUCUCGUAGAGGGGGGUAGAAUUCCAGGUGUAGCGGUGAAAUGCGUAGAGAUCUGGAGGAAUACCGGUGGCGAAGGCGGCCCCCUGGACGAAGACUGACGCUCAGGUGCGAAAGCGUGGGGAGCAAACAGGAUUAGAUACCCUGGUAGUCCACGCCGUAAACGAUGUCGACUUGGAGGUUGUGCCCUUGAGGCGUGGCUUCCGGAGCUAACGCGUUAAGUCGACCGCCUGGGGAGUACGGCCGCAAGGUUAAAACUCAAAUGAAUUGACGGGGGCCCGCACAAGCGGUGGAGCAUGUGGUUUAAUUCGAUGCAACGCGAAGAACCUUACCUGGUCUUGACAUCCACGGAAGUUUUCAGAGAUGAGAAUGUGCCUUCGGGAACCGUGAGACAGGUGCUGCAUGGCUGUCGUCAGCUCGUGUUGUGAAAUGUUGGGUUAAGUCCCGCAACGAGCGCAACCCUUAUCCUUUGUUGCCAGCGGUCCGGCCGGGAACUCAAAGGAGACUGCCAGUGAUAAACUGGAGGAAGGUGGGGAUGACGUCAAGUCAUCAUGGCCCUUACGACCAGGGCUACACACGUGCUACAAUGGCGCAUACAAAGAGAAGCGACCUCGCGAGAGCAAGCGGACCUCAUAAAGUGCGUCGUAGUCCGGAUUGGAGUCUGCAACUCGACUCCAUGAAGUCGGAAUCGCUAGUAAUCGUGGAUCAGAAUGCCACGGUGAAUACGUUCCCGGGCCUUGUACACACCGCCCGUCACACCAUGGGAGUGGGUUGCAAAAGAAGUAGGUAGCUUAACCUUCGGGAGGGCGCUUACCACUUUGUGAUUCAUGACUGGGGUGAAGUCGUAACAAGGUAACCGUAGGGGAACCUGCGGUUG
RNAcentral lists this ribosomal RNA (1522 nucleotides) under Escherichia coli. RNAcentral describes it as "bacterial SSU rRNA". It matches the Rfam family "Bacterial small subunit ribosomal RNA". The record is from RNAcentral. Lineage: Bacteria; Pseudomonadati; Pseudomonadota; Gammaproteobacteria; Enterobacterales; Enterobacteriaceae.